This is a long non-coding RNA of Electrophorus electricus (electric eel), 1378 nucleotides long. Lineage: Eukaryota; Metazoa; Chordata; Actinopteri; Gymnotiformes; Gymnotidae. The record is from Ensembl.
GGCACCAGUCAGACCCUGGUUUCAUCACUGUUUCCAAUGCUGAUACAUGCUAUUGAAAAAAACAAACCAACACUGGCGGUAAGGUACCUGGAAAAAGCAAGAACCUGGAUUGAUGAACUUAUUGCAGAUGCGGACAAGAUGGUGCAAAGCUAUGUUCAACACAACGAAGAUGUGGCCACAACUACCAGUGACAUCAUCACUGAAAAGGCAAACACUGAGGCCAAGUCUGAGCAGCUUUCCAAGGAAGUUCAGGAAAUGGAGGGAGCUAUAAAGACCCUUGAAGAAAAGCUUGCCGGAGUUAGGAACGAGCUUGAAGACACCAAAAGGAAGAUAGAUGCCAAAAACCUGGAACUUGAGAGUUAUGUAAGGGACGUGACAAGCAAAAGCUCAGGCCUCGGAAUCUUCGCUGCGAUUGUGCCAUUCAUUGGGCCAAUCGUCAAGUCCAUUUACGAUGCCGCAACAUCCCCCGCUGCUGCUGCAAAAAUCAAAGCUCUUGAAAACCAGCUGAAUCAGCUCACCUCUCAAAAGGCGGCUCUGAUGAACCAACAGUGGAGCAUUGAGGUCCAGCAGAUUGACUUACAGAUGAAACUGGCCAAAGUAAAAAUUGACAAGGGCUCUAUACCCAGCCCUGUCCACCUGAACGAGGUCCAGCGAUAUCUGACUAAAAUCCAGAACAUUCUGAUUCAGAUCAAAAACUUCUGGCAAAAGGUGCACAGUAUGUUGGGUGUCAUGCAGAAAAAGACAUUUGUUAAUGAAGAUCUUGUUGAUGAACCUGAACUUAAAGAAGAAUUUGUGAAUUCAAUCCAAAAGGCUUCAGAGAUUUGGUCAAAUUUUGGUGGUUCCUGUGGUAAAGCUGCUGAAAUAUUCAAAAUACAGUCCAAGGAUGCCUAUGCGUUCCUGGAGAUUGAUCCAUCGUCUCUCUCAGACGCCGUGUGGCAGGAAGAGUAUAACAGUGUUAUGGGACAGCUACAGGAAAUGAAAGUCUUGAACCAGACUCCAGCAGCCAUCCAAAACUAAAGCACUAAAUACUACUGUGCAUUUCUCCUCUGAGGCUGUCAAAUCAAAUACUCUGUUAAUUGGUGGUCAUAUAUUGGUAAUUUUUAUAGAUAAUAUUGAUUUUCUGUAUUUAGGUACAAUCAGUCAUUCCUUUUUUAAUCAGAACUAUAUGACCUUGUAGUCAGUCAUACACAAUUUACAAUGUAUGUGUACCUGAUUAAAAUAGCGUAGCUUUCUCAUUUAAGCCUCAAAUCAUUCAAGGCUGAAAAAAAAUCUUUCUCCUCUUUUAAUUUCCCAUAAUGAACUUUACUGCCAUGUGAAACUGGCCAUUACAGCAGCUCAAUGAAUCUGUUUUUCAGAGCCACCUACUUCCAAAUCUUUG